UUCAUGUCCAACGUUUGACUGUUGACUGUUGACUGUCCGUCUUAUAUGAAAUUUUUUUAUAAUUAGUAUUUUCAUUGUUGUUAGAUGAUAAAACAUGAUUAAUAUUUUAUACGUGACUUGUAUUUUUAUUUUUUUUUAAUUUUUUUAAAUAAGACGAAUGGUCAAACGUUGGACACGAAAACUCGGGG
RNAcentral lists this microRNA precursor (188 nucleotides) under Oryza nivara. RNAcentral describes it as "MIR812 microRNA precursor family". It matches the Rfam family "MIR812 microRNA precursor family". Lineage: Eukaryota; Viridiplantae; Streptophyta; Magnoliopsida; Poales; Poaceae. The record is from Rfam by way of RNAcentral.